Molecule: long non-coding RNA, 210 nt
Filed under: Setaria viridis
Lineage: Eukaryota; Viridiplantae; Streptophyta; Magnoliopsida; Poales; Poaceae
Description: long non-coding RNA (SVIR_LNC003029)
Source: RNAcentral
UUCUUUUCCGGAAGCUCAUCCUCAAAGAACUCCGGGGUUAAGCGUGCUUGGCCCAGAGCAAUUUCGGGAUGGGUGACCGACCGGGAAGUUCUUCCCGGGUGCGCACGAGUGAGGACAAAGUGCGCAGAAAAGACUUGUGUUGGUCUGUGAGGGAAUUCUUGAUAUCCUAGAGAGCUUCCAGGUGUAAGCGGGCCUGUAGUUGAAUCCGAC